CCCACCCACGGAGGGGGGCACCCGCCUGCGGGGCCAUUUCCGAGGGCUGCAGGCAGAUGGUGCGGGCGUGCGUGUGCUCAGGGCCUCGGACCAGCCCUGCUCCCGGGCCCAGCCACGACAGGAGAAUGGGGACAUGAGGACAGCAGGGGGCCCGGGGCCCGGGCUCUCGGGAAGGACGCUGGCAGCACCAGCCGGCUGUGGCCCAUCCCACAGCAGGGUCUGCCUCUGCCAACUUGAGCGGAGAACACGCACUUCUCAGGGUCGGCAAGUCUGCUCUCGGGUUCACUGAGACAGAAACGCCGCAGGGGCACGCGGGCUUGUGACAAAAGGAAAGCCGGCACCAGGCAGGACUCCCAAGACCUCAGGGGCAGCCCAGAAACACAGGCACCAGGCAGAGAAAUCUACGGGGCACCACCUCAAAGGUCUGUAAGCACAGCAGGGCAGGAGAAGACCGGGCGGCCCUAACGGAACCUCACCACCCUCCCAGAAGCGUAUCCUCCACAGCCAACCAGGAGCUUGAACUCGUGACCCCAACAUUGGGGGUCACACGGUCUUCCCACGGAGCCGACCUGGGGUCCCAA
Molecule: long non-coding RNA, 581 nt
Organism: Mustela lutreola (European mink)
Lineage: Eukaryota; Metazoa; Chordata; Mammalia; Carnivora; Mustelidae
Exons: 3
Source: RefSeq, a predicted model, not a curated record